UUUUGUUUGUUUUAAUUGAUCACCAGUUAAGUCAUGAUACAUUUCAAAGCAAAAUAUUCUGUUCAAGGACAUUGUGCCAAACAUUAAAUCUACUUUUAAACAAGGCUUAUUUUGACUAUAUUACCAUUAUAUACAUACAAGUAUAAUUUUAAUUUCACUAGUAGCAAAAUUACUCAGUACAUUACAUUUCCUGAAAGAUGGCAAAAAACAGGACUUGAAGAUCUGUUCUGCCCUUCCACAUAUCCCCAAACCAGAAAAAUCACAGGUAUAGAAAGUACAAUCACAACUACAGGUAAACACAAUAAGGACCUCAGAGCAAGUUAAGACCUUAUCAGAGAUGACAAUCGCUUCCAGAAGUCUACAUUGCAGAUAGAUACACAGUUACAUUCCACUAAAGAAUUUUGGGAGUUCUCACAAUGCCUCUUAAUCCUCUUUUGGUAAUAAAAACUUCUAUGACAACAUGUAUCCUUCAUAAAAAUGACUUUGUAUUUUUGGAGCAUCUGUUGGAAGCUUAAUGCAGUCUAAAUUGCAGCCUACAAUAAGCUCAUCCAAACAGAGCGAGCAAGCAUUGCAUGAUUCAUCAAAAUCAGAACCACAGCUCAGCUGAGUCACUCUUUGCUCCCGGUCUCUGGGCCCCUGGUAGCUAGAGCUACUCUGCACCACGGACGGGCUCAAGGGGUCGGAAACAGUACAUUUCUUCUACAGCUUUUGCAGGUCACUCACCUGCAAGUUCUUGACAGAAAAUGUCAACUGACUCAUAAAGCACAGGCAACUGUACAAGACUGAUGUGAACUUAUUUACAAAGCAUUCAUUACACUGCAAUCACAAGACAAUUAAGGACACAGCUAAGGAGCAACAAGAUUUCUGUAUUUAUGCUACCCCUGAAAAAUUCCUGUGAGCAGCAGAGAACGCAAUGGGCAGUGACUGCACAAACAUACUGCUGCUGCUGGGGAAACUGCAGUCUGGGCUUUGGGAAGUGGAAUGGUGCACGUAACCCAGCGGUCCCAAAGGGCAGCUGAGACUUCAGUUACGCUCAAACUCUGCUUUGGUUUGUGCAAUAUAUUAUUAAUCCUGUGCAUGCAGCUUUGAGACGUAGUCUGCAUUCAGGAAGGAACCGUUACUCUGUGCUUGGCAAAACAACACUGGAGGAGAUUUCUAGAACUAGUAAGGAAGUGGAGGUAAACAAGGCAUUUUUCAUGAGCGCUAGUGACCCUCACAGCUGCAACCUUGCCACCAUCACAAGGAAAUGAACUUCAUCAGCACUGUUGUAGGUUUUCUAUUCUAUAUUUGGAAAUUUUAUACUACUUCUAUAUUUGCUGAAGGAAGCUACCCCCUGAUGAGCAACCUCUCUGAACUUUACCUAAGUGACAAUGCAGAGGAGCUUCUCCUACCAGGCUUGAUGUCCCCAGGCUUGGGGAACAGCUACCCACUAACAAUAUUGAGCUUAACCUCAUGAUUUAGUAUGAAUGUAGGUGCUUAUCUACUCCUUUUCCUUCUCUUCCCUGCUGUUAAGCACAAGGAAAUCUGACCACACUAGGAAACACUAAACAGGCAUGCCCAAGGUUAAAGACACCAACUGAUUUCCUCCAGUAUGGUCAGAACACAUCACUUCUCCUUUGGCAGGUUCUAGCCACACACACUCAACACCACUUCUUCGCAGAUCUCCAUUUUAAGUGUCAAGUUGCCUGGCUCUCCAGACCUAACAUCAAUAUGAUAUAAGUAACUUAGUUCAGAAAUAACUGCUGUAAAUCUGCUGUAUCAUUUUAUCAGCCCUGCUUUAUAGCAACUUCUGCAAAAAAGCCAAGCACUCAGUACUGCCACUUGUACAUAGCCAGUCAGUAGCCCUUCUGAAAGGGCUGAAAAAGCAGGCUACAAACUAGGUUCUUUCUACUAGUCUACACCUAGUUUUAGCAGAGGUAGGUAGGAAUAGGUGAAGAGAGAAUUAGAAAACAACGUUUGAGAUGUAGGCUAGAGUCCAGAUGUUCUUUACUCUUCCUUUAACCUAUGUUUCACUGGUUUUUUCUUUGCUUAACCAUGGUCAACCUACUCACUUAUGAACUGGAUCCUGGUAGGCUGCAAAGACAACAUGAUAUUAGUCAGUUGUCAUUAACAGGCAGAGGAACUACAAGCAUGGGCCAAAAGUCUCAGCUUAAUCAAUUUUUCUGUAGCCUAUUCUAAAAGCUUUUCAGCUUGUGGACAUUAAGAAUACAACUACAGUAACAUACAACUACAGUAACAUGUUUAAUAGUUUGAAUGC
This 2257-nucleotide long non-coding RNA is filed under the name Strigops habroptila (Kakapo). RNAcentral's name for it is "lncRNA (ENSSHBG00005002994.1)". The record is from RNAcentral. Lineage: Eukaryota; Metazoa; Chordata; Aves; Psittaciformes; Psittacidae.